AAGUCGUAACAAGGUUUCCGUAGGUGAACCUGCGGAAGGAUCAUUAAUUAAUACUGUUUCUCUCUUUUGAGGACAUAUUUAUUGUGCAAUUAUAAAGAGUUGUGGUUCUCGGAAGAGAUUCCAUACACUCACUAUAUUUUACCAUUGGAUUACUAUUAUUCUGAAAAGAAUACUAUUAUAAUUAUAAAUAACUUUUAACAACGGAUCUCUUGGCUCUCC
RNAcentral lists this unclassified non-coding RNA (219 nucleotides) under fungal sp. Its description in RNAcentral is "partial internal transcribed spacer region". The stretch from base 1 to 46 matches the Rfam family "Eukaryotic small subunit ribosomal RNA", at positions 1786 to 1831 of the family's 1831-position model. The record is from RNAcentral. Lineage: Eukaryota; Fungi.